This 253-nucleotide ribosomal RNA is filed under the name uncultured bacterium. RNAcentral describes it as "partial 16S ribosomal RNA". It matches the Rfam family "Bacterial small subunit ribosomal RNA", at positions 524 to 776 of the family's 1533-position model. The record is from RNAcentral.
UACGUAGGGUGCGAGCGUUGUCCGGAAUUAUUGGGCGUAAAGAGCGUGUAGGCGGCCAGAUAAGUCCGUUGUGAAAACUCGAGGCUCAACCUCGAGACGUCGGCGGAAACCCUCUGGCUAGAGUCCGGAAGAGGAGAGUGGAAUUCCUGGUGUAGCGGUGAAAUGCGCAGAUAUCAGGAAGAACACCCGUGGCGAAGGCGGCUCUCUGGGACGGUACUGACGCUGAGACGCGAAAGCGUGGGGAGCAAACAGG